RNAcentral lists this ribosomal RNA (377 nucleotides) under uncultured bacterium. RNAcentral describes it as "bacterial SSU rRNA". It matches the Rfam family "Bacterial small subunit ribosomal RNA", at positions 524 to 898 of the family's 1533-position model. The record is from RNAcentral.
UACGAAGGGUACGAGCGUUAUUCGGAGUUACUGGGCGUAAAGAGCGUGUAGGCGGUUAGUUAAGUUAGUUGUUAAAUUCCCCGGCCUAACUGGGGACAUGCGGCUAAUACUGGCUAGCUAGAGUACAAGAGAGAGAAGUAGAAUUCCCGGAGUAGCGGUAAAAUGCGUAGAUCUCGGGAGGAAUACCGAUGGCGAAGGCAGCUUCUUGGCUUGUAACUGACGCUAAAGCGCGAAAGCGUGGGGAGCAAACAGGAUUAGAUACCCUGGUAGUCCACGCCGUAAACGAUGAUCACUGGAUAUGGGUUUGACGUUGUCAGAUCUGUGUCGUAGCUAACGCGUUAAGUGAUCCGCCUGGGAAAUACGGUCGCAAGAUUAAA